RNAcentral lists this unclassified non-coding RNA (438 nucleotides) under Carum graecum subsp. serpentinicum. RNAcentral's name for it is "partial external transcribed spacer". Lineage: Eukaryota; Viridiplantae; Streptophyta; Magnoliopsida; Apiales; Apiaceae. The record is from RNAcentral.
GCAGGAUCAACCAGGUAGCAUUCCUCGAUGCCGCCGGCACCGCAUGAGCAACAGGACAAGUAGUGUCCUCCAGUCAACACGGGGCACGACAGGCUUCAAUAAGGGACAUUUAACUCGGGCAUAGAGGGUACGAGGACCCCGACCGAUCAUGUUUCUGCAUACAAGACUUCCAGCAACACGCAGGCAUCCGAUUCCCGCUAUAGCUAAAAUGGCCAAGCAAGGGCGGACACCCAGGUGAGCUUCGGUGUCUACAUCGUGCAAAGAGUUUAGCACGAGAUAGAAAAGAGACCGUGGGACUAGAGAAUUCCAUCAAAUUAGGUAUGCUCACAGGGGGCCAAGCCAACCAAGGCAAAGGGUUUCGCACUCGGACUGAACUGAAAAGGUGUGAUCCCGUGAUUGUCGCUGCCGAGACAGGGAACCAACCAAACGGAACAUACC